GAUCUUCUCCUUCAUGGGAGAUGAUUGAAAGAUGGUUUCGGCUAUCACUUACAGAUGGGCCCGCGGUGCAUUAGCUAGUUGGUGAGGUAACGGCUCACCAAGGCAACGAUGCAUAGCCGACCUGAGAGGGUGAUCGGCCACACUGGGACUGAGACACGGCCCAGACUCCUACGGGAGGUCAGCAGUAGGGAAUCUUCCGCAAUGGACGAAAGUCUGACGGAGCAACGCCGCGUGAGUGAUGAAGGCUUUCGGGUCGUAAAACUCUGUUGUUAGGGAAGAACAAGUGACAAGAGUACACUGCUUGUCACCUUGACGGUACCUAACCAGAAAGCCACGGCUAACUACGUGCCAGCAGCCGCGGUAAUACGUUAAGGUGGCAAGCGUUAUCCGGAAUUAUUGGGCGUAAAGCGCCGCGCAGGCGGUUUCUUAACGUCUGAUGUGAAAGCCCACGGCUCAACCGUGGAGGGUCAUUGGAAUACUGGGGAACUUGAGUGCAGAAGAGAAAAGCGGAAUUCCUCUAACGUGUAGCGGUGAAAUGCGUAGAGAUGUGGAGGAACACCAGUGGCGAAGGCGGCUUUUUGGUCUGUAACUGACGCU
This 597-nucleotide ribosomal RNA is filed under the name Priestia megaterium. Its description in RNAcentral is "bacterial SSU rRNA". It matches the Rfam family "Bacterial small subunit ribosomal RNA", at positions 173 to 747 of the family's 1533-position model. The record is from RNAcentral. Lineage: Bacteria; Bacillati; Bacillota; Bacilli; Caryophanales; Bacillaceae.